CCUACGGGGGGCUGCAGUGGGGAAUAUUGGGCAAUGGGCGCAAGCCUGACCCAGCAACGCCGCGUGAAGGAAGAAGGCUUUCGGGUUGUAAACUUCUUUUCUCAGGGACGAAGCAAGUGACGGUACAUGAGGAAGAAGCGACGGCUCACGACGGGCCAGCAGCCUCGGUAAUACGUAGGUGGCAAGCGUUAUCCGGAUUGACUGGGUGUAAAGGGCGAGGAGGCGGGGACGCAAGGCAGAUGUGAAAACCCCGGGCUCACCCUGUGGCCUGCAUUUGAAACUGUGUUUCUUGAGUACUGGAGAGGCAGCCGGAAUUCCUAGUGUAGCGGUGAAAUGCGUAGAUAUUAGGAGGAACACCCGUGGCGCAGGCGGUCUGCUGGACCGCAACUGACGCUGCGGCGCGAAAGCGUGGGGAGCAAACCGGAUUAGCUACCCCUGUAGUC
RNAcentral lists this ribosomal RNA (443 nucleotides) under uncultured bacterium. RNAcentral's name for it is "partial 16S ribosomal RNA". It matches the Rfam family "Bacterial small subunit ribosomal RNA", at positions 338 to 795 of the family's 1533-position model. The record is from RNAcentral.